RNAcentral lists this ribosomal RNA (253 nucleotides) under uncultured bacterium. RNAcentral's name for it is "partial 16S ribosomal RNA". It matches the Rfam family "Bacterial small subunit ribosomal RNA", at positions 524 to 776 of the family's 1533-position model. The record is from RNAcentral.
UACGGGGGGGGCAAGCGUUGUCCGGAUUUAUUGGGUUUAAAGGGUGCGUAGGCGGCCCUGUAAGUCAGUGCUGAAAUAUCCCAGCUUAACUGGGAGGGUGGCAUUGAUACUGCGGGGCUAGAGUACAGAUGAGGUAGGCGGAAUUGACGGUGUAGCGGUGAAAUGCUUAGAUAUCGUCAAGAACACCUAUAGCGAAGGCAGCUUACUAGGCUGUAACUGACGCUGAGGCACGAAAGUGUGGGGAUCAAACAGG